Solanum pennellii is the source of this 1207-nucleotide long non-coding RNA. RefSeq lists it as uncharacterized. The transcript is spliced from 4 exons. Lineage: Eukaryota; Viridiplantae; Streptophyta; Magnoliopsida; Solanales; Solanaceae. The record is from RefSeq and is a predicted model, not a curated record.
GGAAAAACAGGAGAAGGAGAAGGAGAAGGAGAAGAAGAAGAAGGCAAAGGAGAUGGAGAAGGAGAAAAAGAAGGAGAAAGAGAAGGAGUAAAAUAAAGAGAAGAAAGUCGAAGUCGUCAGUUGUGAUGUGAAGCGCUAAUAUCCAAUUGAAGGUUUUAACAUUGAAGGCGAGGGUUCAACUGAACUAAUGUCAUCCUUCUCGCAAUGGAUAAAGAGGGUCUUUACAAGCAUCAUGCAAAAAAAGGAAACAAGGAGGAUCACUGCUUAGCCAAUUGCUCAAAACAUGAUUUUGAUCAACUUGAUUUUGUAGUUGCAUUUCCAAGGAAUAAGGACUGGUUCUACGUAAUGUCUCAACCCAAUAAGUGCUGGAAUGAUGAGUAUGUGGAUGUCAUAUUUUACUAUUUGCUUAAGAAGUCGAAGCAAAAGAUUCAGCCUAAAUAUCAAUAUACCACCACUAGUUGUUUUUUAAAAACAUACAUUAACAAUGCUAGUGAGUAUGAGGAUAAAAUCGUUGGCAUAAUGAAAGGGUUUGCUAUACCUUGUGGACUGCCUUGACACUUGGCAGAUGAUGUUUACGUCCCUGUAAAUAGUAAUGGGGAAUUUCAUUGGGUCUUGGCAGUCGUUGCAUUGAAGGAAUGGUGGAUAAAAGUGUAUGAUUCUAUGUCCUCAACUAGGUCUAAUAGAAAAUUAUCCUCCGAGCUUAAAAAGUUGUCUACAAUGUUGCCAAAAUACAUAGAGUUAAGAGGAUUUUUUGAGCAAAGAGAGCGAACCAACUGGUCAGUUCUUAAAUGUUACCAAGGAAAGAACAAAUCUCACCGGUUCAAAGUCAGACAUGUUACUGAUAUUGCCCAACAAGGAAGCAAUAGUCUAUAUUUUGGAUUUUAUGUUGUUGCAUACGCUGAGUUUUUGAGUGAUGGAUUAGAAGUACCAUGAUGUAGAAUUAGUGCUGACACCCUUCGCUUGAGAUAUGCUUCACUCCUAUGGAAUUAUGGUAUUAUAAAGGCUCGAAAUGGCUAUGUUAGUAACAAUGAAGAACCAAAGAUGCCUAAACCUAAAAAAUCUAAGAUCGAUGAAAAUGUUGUGUUCACAACCAUCGAUUAGAUAGGUGGUUAUGUAUAUCACAUCAUUGUGAAUUACCUUUUUGUUGAUAAGUUGUAUAAAACAAUUGGUGAAGUGUUAAUAUAAAUGUAGUUUAAUCCUCCCUUCA